Aethalodelphis obliquidens (Pacific white-sided dolphin) is the source of this 6047-nucleotide long non-coding RNA. RefSeq lists it as uncharacterized. The record is from RefSeq and is a predicted model, not a curated record. NCBI's taxonomy places the organism in Eukaryota, Metazoa, Chordata, Mammalia, Artiodactyla, Delphinidae. The transcript is spliced from 6 exons.
GUGAACUACAGCCACCGCCUGCCUCUGCAGGAGACCCUCUAAUACUAGCAGUUCCAAGAAUGAGCUUGGGACAUCAUUAGCACAGGAUUAUUACUCUUGGCUAGUCUUGGCCAGAGUCUGCAAGGAGGCUGCCCCAAAGAAGAAGAGAGAUUGGAGAAGGGGUGAGUAAAAUGUGAGAGAGGAGCGGAGAGAACUGUUACAAAAAGGAAGCAGAAUUUGAUUUGGGAAAUUCUCAGCCUACACAGAUUGCAAACAAUGCUGAAGUUAAGAGAUCCACUGCCAAGAAAGCAUGCUCUGCAGAUGGCUUGACUAUGUCUGCUUGAUGACCAAAGAAACUAGCUGAUCUGCUAAACUGCUGGCUGAUACAGAGACUUUCUUGAAGUGGGAGCCUUUACCGAGGCAGCGCGCAGACGCAGCAGCCUGAGUGGCACAGCCAGCCUCCUUCCCUGGAAAUACACUCAGCAUCUCAGCAUCUAGCCCCCAUAGCUUGGAACUGUGCCUGUGAGCAUCUGUGCUGCAUCUCGGUUUAUUUUGUGCAUUCGUCAGCAAGUGUCCUAAAGUAUCAGAAAAGGUUAACAUAAAACCAGAUGUAAUUUUAAGUGUUUUGAUUGGGGUGAACGAACUGGGCAUUGUGUGUGAGUUGAACUUGCUUGGGUCCACUAUUUCCAGGCAGAGAGAAAGAAUCUUGAAAGCUGCCAAAGUUACUAUUGCUUCUGUUAGUAGCAAAGUGGUCUCAGUUGGCAUCCAGCAGUGGGUAAACUGGAAAGUCUAUUGCUUGAGCGGACUGAUGGGUGUACAAAGCGAGGUGUUUAAGUUAUCUUAUACUUAAGGAGAAAUCGGUCAGUCUUUCUAAUAAGCUGAAACAGAAAGCACUUGGACCACGGUGAUGAAAGUGUUGCAACAGUAGAAUUUGAAGGUAGUCAUGGAUGGUUUGAUUGGUGAGGGCAGGUUCUUACCUUAAAAGUUACUGGAGAGAGUGCUUCCGCUGUUACUGAAGCUGCCAAAAAGUUCCCGGAACUGAAGAAAAUAAUUACAGGAGGUGGUUAUUCAUAUAAGUGUUUGACCCUGAAGAUGAUGUUGAAGAGGUUUUGGCAUCCCAUGACUAAGAACUGACAGAUGAAGAGCUGAUGCCAUUGCAAGAGGAAAGGAUACUAUUCGAAUACUAAUUGAAACGGAACACAGUAGUGAACAGCCUAAAAGUAAAGCCCUCCAGGAACUCAACAUGAAGCACUUGCAUGAGAUUUUCACUGUAAUUGACAGUGCUGCAAUGAUAGCAGAGAAGGUAUAUGACUUUAAUUUUGAAAGGGCAUGUAGGUUUAGGGCAAGUUUGCAGGAUGUUCUGAGUGCCUACAAACAACUGCAUGAUAGAAAAACGCAUGAGGAUAAGCAGUCAAGCAUACUGUCAUGUUUCAAGCCUUCCACAUCAGCCACAGACGACGAUGAACCUCAACAUUUGACGCUGAGGCAGGCAGUUAUAGAAGAAGGUGAAGACAUUAGUGACCUGCUUGCCCUGACGGAUUCAAACAACGGUGAGAUGUUAAUGGGUGACCCCCUUCCUCUGUCUCCUACAUCCCCAUCUCCACACGCCCCCACCACAGCCUCCCACAUCUCAGCCUAACACACCAUCAUCACCACCUCUCAGCCUUCCAGUGUGUUGGUGGCUGUCCUCUCGAUUCUGCUGUCAUAUAUUCUGUUUUGUGGAUAUACUCAGAUUUGUAGCCAGUCUCCUAUAGAUGGACACUUGUGUUGUUUCCAGCCUUUGGAUAUUAGGAACAAUGCUUUAAUGAAUAAAUGUCAUUUCUUACAUUUGCAGGGGUAACUCUUAGAUUCUCUGAAGAGAAUUGCCGGUUUAAAGAGGAAAUGUUUUUGUAAGUGUGAUGAAUAUUGACAGUUGGCCUUUAAAGAGUGGUCCAUUCUGCACUCCCAUCAGCAGCGUAUGAGAGGUAUUGCUUAUUUUUAGGUGGAUUGGGAGGAACUAGAAAGUGAUUGGGGGGAUGUUUUUUGAUAGACCAGAAAAUUUCUAAGUAAAAUCCUGAACAGUUUGAGAAUAGGAGUUAGAAUGAUAACAUAUAUGUCAAAAAGAAAUUGCUGUGUGAUGGGAAGGGUCAAUUGUAAAAGGCAGUGUUGAAUUCAGACCAGUGCUGUUGUUGUUUUUAACUGAACUGUGCUUUUGAUACAUGUUUCUCGGUAGAUUCAAGGAUGUAGAGAAGAAUCAAAAGAAUCUUAUGUGAUAUUUUAAAAUCUAUGCUGCCUUGCUCCAUGACAGCAGUAACUCAAAAACAGGAGACAUGGGUGAAUGAUUACUCAAGUCUAUUCUCAACAAUUUAUUCUUCUGAAUAGAUGAUUAAGAGUCAUUAAAGAGUGAAGAUUUUACUUUAAUGAACAAUUAUUCAUGUUACCGAGAGUCUUAGGUUAGUGCUAGAAGUAAAGUCUUAUCAAUGUAGCUUGUGAAGGAUUUGUUUUGUAUUUUUGGUUGUCAAUAAAACAUUUUUUCAAGAGGCAUUUGUUUAUGCCUUAAAUAUGCUAUGAUGGUGUAUAAAUAUGAACCUGCAGCGGAGUGAGAAAUAGAAUUUGCAGCAGUUUAUUAUUUCUUUAACCAAACAGAAGGAAGAUGAAGACAGCGACAUUUCACGUUAUUUUAAUUAUUUUACUUUCUUCUUGAAAGUAUUCCGGAAGUUUUGCCAGUUUUUAUUAACAUUCACAGGGAGUGAGUAUAUCAUUUAAAAAUUUACCAGAUUGAAAACUUUAAGGACUUGUAUAAUUUAGAGGAAAAACAGCUAGGAUUCUAAAUAUAUAUAUGAUAUAAAUAAAUUAAUUUAUAGUAUACACACACACAUACAUACAUACACAUAUAUUUAUGUCAUAUUAAAGUGACCUUAUAAAUAAUACCUUUUUCUGUAGGAUAAACUAUGAUCAUGAUUAAAAGCUGAUUUAAUAGAUAAUGCUAGCUUUAAUUUAAAAUAUUUAAGAACAGUUUCAGGUAAAUGUAUUUAAAUGAGUGCUCUACUUAGCAAGGAAGUUAAAAGACCAUUUUUUUUGGUUCAAAAAUUAUUUCAUUCUUAUUAUUUAGUAAAUAUUUCAGACAAGGAUUAUUUUGAGACUAUAUUAAAUGUACAUUUUGUACACGUAUGUAUGAAAUUAGCAUUAUAGCUUCUGUGGGGUUUUUUUGCAUGAAUUGUACCUUCUUUAUGAGUUAUUAUUAAAGUCUUGAAUUCUGAACUUGAGGAAAUCAAAUGGUUGUCAUUAUAAUGCCACCUGUGAAUAAGUUUGAUCAGUGUUUUCUUUCAGGACUGAGGCAAAUAGCAAUGAAGUUCAAUUUUGAGGGUGCCAGAUUCUAAAUAAGUUCUUGGGAAAUAUGCCAGAAAAUGCCCAGAUUGAUAAUGUUUUGUGUAUAAAAUUAAUUAAGCCAUUCUUAUUAGACUGAAAGAUAAAUUUCCAAAUACAGGCAAUUCUGGCUCUUUCAGUACUUAAGACUGUUCCCUAUGGUUAAAGGUAUAUAUGACAUGCCUAUUUUUUUACUUCAUAUUUUUUUUUCUUUAACUUUAAAUACACAGUAGUUGAAUUUUUCCUUAUUAAAUAUACAAUAUACAGUAAGAGAAAAGAGUGUGUAUGAUGCAUGUGCACUUCUGUCUGCGCGCACACACACACACACACACACACACACCAUUUAAAGAUAUGUAAUUCCAACAGCAAUUCUGUGACAGCAAUUGGAUGUCCUAUAAUUUGACACCUAGAGUUAGAGCAGACACAUAGGUCAAGGGCUUAGCCCCACAAGACUGCCUCCACAACAGAUGCCAGCCAGGAGUUUAAAGUAUCCCAAAGCUACCUACACUUCUACCCCACUGACUCCAAAUUCAGGGAUUCCCAUGACUGCUCAUCACCACCCCCAGUUGUGAUAAUUCUCUAGCAUGACUGACUGGACUCAGGAAAGCGCUAUGCUACCUACUCAAGCUUUAUUAUAAAGGGGCAAAGUAUGGGACGCAGGGAGUGCAGAGCUUCCAUGGCCUGCCUGGGUGUGCCACCCUCUCAGCACAUUGGUGUGUUCACCAACCUGGAAGCUUCUUGAGCCUGGUUGUUUCAAGAUUUUUUAUGGGAUUUCAUUGAGUAGGCAUGAUUGAUUAAAUCAUUGGCUAUUUAAUUGAAAAUCUUUAGUCCCUCUCCCCUCCCUGGAAAUUGGGGGAUAGGCCCUGAAAGUUCCAACUCUAUAAUCACCUUGGCUGGUUUUUCUGGUGACCAGCUUCUAUCUUGAUGCUACCUAGCGUCUCCCAACCCACCAAGAGUCACCUCAUUAGCAUAAACUCAAGUGUGGUUGAAAGGGGCUCAGGAAUGACAAAAGACAUUUCUAUCACUCAGCAAACUCAGGAGGUUUCAGGAGCUCUACCAGGGACCAGGGACAAAGAUCAAAUAAUUUUUUUAUUAUACCACAAGAGAAUAAACAAGUGAAAACAUAAUACCCAACGCCUAAUUAAGAAAUAGAAUACCAAGGUACCUUUUUAAGUCUCUUAUGUCUCUUUCUUAAUGUAUUCCCCCUUCUUCUUUCCCAGAGGAAACCACUAUCAUGAAUUUUAUAUUAUUCGUUACCUUGCUUUUCUUUAGAGUUUAGUUAAUUAUAAGGCUACUUAGGUGUAUCCCCAAAAUAUGCACUGUGUCUUUGCUUUUUUUUAACCUUAUUAUGAAUGUAGUUAUUUUGCAUGUAUUCUUUUGUAACUAAGUUUUUUUUCCAUUUAACACUGUUUCUAAGAGUAAUCCAAAUUUAUGCAUGUAGCUAUAGUUCAUUCCUUUUCACUACCAUAUAAUAUUUUGUAUUAGAAAUACAACACACUUGAGUUAUCUGCUAUAUUGCUUACUAUUAUGAACUAAACUUAUCAGCAUUCUCAAACAUGUGCAAAUGUUUCUCUGGCUAAUAUGCCUAGAGGUGGUGUUAUGGACUGAAUUGGGUUUCCUCAAAAUUCAAAUGUUGAAGCCCUUACUCCUAAUACCUCCCAAUAUCUCAGAAUGUGACUGCAUUUGGAGAUAGGGUCUUUAUUAAUAAAGAGGUAAUUAAGUUAAAAUGAGACCUUUGAUGAUGGUGGAGUGGCGAGGGUGCCCUAGUCUGGUCUGAUUGUUGUCCUUAUAAGAAGAGGAGAUUAGGACAUACAGAGAAAUGCUGGACAUGUGCAUGCAGGGAAGAAAGGCCAGUGAAGACACUGCAGGAAGACAUCUGCAAUGCCUGGGAAGAAACCAAACUUUAUUCUUGGACUUCUAGCCUCCAAAACUCAGAAAAUAAAUUGGUGUCUAAGCCACCCAGUCUCUAGUAUUUUUGUUAUGGCAACCCUAGCAAACAAAUACAGUUAGAAUUGCUAGAUGGUAGGAUUAUGCACAAGUUCAGUUAGCAACGCCAAUAUUUUUUUAAAGUACUUGGACUGAUUUACAAUCCUACUGGCAUGUAUGAGAAUUCUUGUUCUACAUCCUCACCCAAACCUGAUAUUGUCAGACUUUACUUUCUCCAGUCUGUUGGAAAGGAAUGGAAUGUUAUUGUCAUAUUAAUUGCAUUUUCCUGAUAAUUAAGGAAAGUUGAAUAUCUUCAUGCGUUUCUUGUUUCUAUAUCAAUAAAAUGCCUGUUAUAUCUUCGUCCACUGUUCUGUUAUGUUAUUUGUUUUUUUAUUACUGAUGGGUAGGAGUUAAUUUUAAUGAAAGUUAAGAUUUAUCCUUUAAUAACCUGUCUUCUUUUAUGUCUUAUUUAAGAAAUUCUUCCCAACCUCCAGAGUAAAAGAAUAUAUUCUCUCAUUUUUUUUCUGAAUGUUUUACAUUUGAAUCCUUAAUGUACCUGGAAUUGAUUUUUUUUUAAGUUUGGUUUGAGGUAGAUAUAUAGUUUCAUUUUUUUCCCAUGCUAAUAACAGUUGUCCUAGUCCUAUUUAUUGAAUAGUCUUUGGCAGCUCUGUUAUACAUCACGUCUGCCUAUGAUGUGGUUCUCUUUCUUGUCUCUAAUUAUGAUUUUUGUCUACCUCUAGACCAGCAUCACAUUGUCUUAAUUCCUAUGGUUUUAUAAUAAAUCUUAAUAUCUGGUA